UCAUGCUUAGUGGUAGGUCUCAUAUAAUUACAUUCAUGUUUAAGUAUCCAGCAUUCUAUUCAAUAACUAUAUCUGUUUUGAUAAUCAAACUUAUGCAAUUACUUGCACAUCUUUAGUACAGGAAGCACCAGACAUUUCUGCGUUUAUUCGAGCAAGGGCUGCCGCGUAUCCCAUAUUUGAAAGAAUUCAUCAUGGUGCUUCUCUUCCCUAAGGCUCAACGUCCAGCCCCCUAUUAUAAGGUUAAAAUUUUUUGGAACGAUCAUGCAAAGGAGGUAACAUCAAUUCAAUAUCCAUUCCAAGGCGUAAAAUAUAAUAUCUUAGGAUCAUAUUGAAUCAUACUGAAACCACAAGAAUCCCCACUGUCAUUUCUUCUUUUUAAUUAUUUUGUCCAGUCAAAUUAUUGUGGUAUGCAUCAACCCAGUACACUUAAAAAUAGCAUCAUUUCUUGGAAACAUAAUAUCUUUCCUGCUUUCAUGCUACAAUGGUUGACUGGUUGCAGUAUGAUCCAAAAUGGUCAAUAAAUGAGAUAUUUAGUUAUUCAGACCUCUGUUAUAUUAAUGCUAAAUUGGAAUUACUGCCGCUUCUGUGAUGGUUUUUUUUUGUCAUAUAUAAUGGAGAUUUUAACAAUUAAAUUUAGAUGCAGGCUUCAGAUGCAUCAAAUUCACAUGGGAUGGUUCGGACAAAUAAGUAAAAAGACAAGAUUUUCGUAAAGUUUAUAUGCGCUUCAGAAUGUUCAACUUUGUGUUAGUUUAAUGGUUAGAAUGUUUAUUACUCAAUGUGAUUUGGGUUGCAUUAAUCUUAUAAAUGUGAAUAUUAUGAUAUCCGGAUAUUAUGGUAUUUUUUUAUAAUUUAAUAUUUUUUUCGUUUUGGAAAAAAACAAUUAAUAAUGAACAUAUAACUUCUGCUAGUAAUUAUAAAUGCCUCCAAAAUGUAAAUUAACAUUUAAAUUUAAAUCUAUUACAACUUUUGUUGACACUUUAAAAUGACUUGAUAGUGGAAGAUAAAAGUGUCCGGAACCAUUUGUG
RNAcentral lists this long non-coding RNA (1025 nucleotides) under Gossypium barbadense (sea-island cotton). RNAcentral's name for it is "long non-coding RNA (GBAR_LNC001909)". Lineage: Eukaryota; Viridiplantae; Streptophyta; Magnoliopsida; Malvales; Malvaceae. The record is from RNAcentral.